GCCAGGUGUGGUGGCUCAUGCCUGUAAUCUUAGUGACCCAGGAGGCUGAGGCAGGAGGUUUGCAAGUUUAAGGCCAACCUCAACAACUUAGCCAGGCCUAAGCAAUUUAGCAAGACCUUGUCUCAA
RNAcentral lists this small RNA (126 nucleotides) under Marmota monax (woodchuck). Lineage: Eukaryota; Metazoa; Chordata; Mammalia; Rodentia; Sciuridae. The record is from RNAcentral.